GCUGUGAUGGCUCAGUGGAUUGAGUGUCGUCCCAUUGACCAAGAGGUCCUGGGUUCGAUUCCCAGUCAGGGCA
Molecule: transfer RNA, 73 nt
Filed under: Myotis davidii
Lineage: Eukaryota; Metazoa; Chordata; Mammalia; Chiroptera; Vespertilionidae
Rfam family: tRNA
About the family: Transfer RNA (tRNA) molecules are approximately 80 nucleotides in length. Their secondary structure includes four short double-helical elements and three loops (D, anti-codon, and T loops).
Source: Rfam by way of RNAcentral